CUACGGAGGGUGCAAGCGUUAAUCGGAAUUACUGGGCGUAAAGAGUACGUAGGUGGUUUAUUAAGUCAGAUGUGAAAGCCCCGGGCUUCACCUGGGAACUGCAUUUGAUACUGGCAAACUAGAGUAUGGUAGAGGCGGGUAGAAUUCCUAGUGUAGCGGUGAAAUGCGUAGAUAUUAGGAGGAAUACCAGUGGCGAAGGCGGCCCGCUGGACCAAUACUGACACUGAGGUACGAAAGCGUGGGUAGCGAACGGGAUUAGAAACCCUAGUAGUCC
RNAcentral lists this ribosomal RNA (274 nucleotides) under uncultured bacterium. RNAcentral describes it as "partial 16S ribosomal RNA". It matches the Rfam family "Bacterial small subunit ribosomal RNA", at positions 523 to 796 of the family's 1533-position model. The record is from RNAcentral.